UGGGGAAUAUUGCGCAAUGGGGGAAACCCUGACGCAGCGACGCCGCGUGAGCGAUGAAGGCUUUAGGGUCGUAAAGCUCUUUUGUAAGGGAAGAAUGUCGUAGUUGCUAAUACCAGCUACGAAUGACGGUACCUUACGAAUAAGCCCCGGCUAACUACGUGCCAGCAGCCGCGGUAAGACGUAGGGGGCGAGCGUUGUCCGGAAUUACUGGGCGUAAAGAGCACGUAGGCGGGUAUUUAAGUCAGGUGUGAAAGACCGCAGCUCAACUGCGGGAUUGCACCUGAAACUGGGUAUCUUGAGGGCAGGAGAGGGCAGUGGAAUUCCAGGUGUAGCGGUGAAAUGCGUAGAAAUCUGGAGGAACACCAGUGGCGAAGGCGACUGUCUGGACUGACCCUGACGCUGAGGUGCGAAAGCGUGGGUAGCAAACAGG
Molecule: ribosomal RNA, 430 nt
Filed under: uncultured bacterium
Lineage: Bacteria
Description: bacterial SSU rRNA
Rfam family: Bacterial small subunit ribosomal RNA
Source: RNAcentral